AACUUUAAUCUUCUCCUUUAGUU
Molecule: small nuclear RNA, 23 nt
Filed under: Arabidopsis thaliana (thale cress)
Lineage: Eukaryota; Viridiplantae; Streptophyta; Magnoliopsida; Brassicales; Brassicaceae
Description: snRNA_08368
Source: RNAcentral